Molecule: long non-coding RNA, 1089 nt
Filed under: Takifugu rubripes (torafugu)
Lineage: Eukaryota; Metazoa; Chordata; Actinopteri; Tetraodontiformes; Tetraodontidae
Description: lncRNA (ENSTRUG00000028426.1)
Source: RNAcentral
UUCGUGUACAACUUGUUCUCCAGUAACCUCCUCAGCACUUCUCGUACAUGUCCGACGUGUUCCUCCAUUGACCUGGAAAAAAUCAGUAUAUCGUCCAGGUAGACAAAAUGGACUUGUUAAGCAAGUCCCGCAGUACGUCAUUGACCAAGCACUGGAACACGGCGGGGGCAUUAGUCAAUCCAAAGUGUUGUGACUCCUACUCUGGCCCCACCUCCUCCUGUGCAAUCAGCUCAACCACCACAACCCGUGCCCUCUCCUCCAGCUGCACCCAAUCCGCCCAAACGACUCUGCACCCAUAAAAGGCCCCUCUGCACUCAGGCCAGUGCUUGAUCUAACUGGUGUUUUGGCAACACGUACCGUUGACCCAGCAUCUCUCCAGGCUCCCCAGCGACUCCCCAGCGACCCCCAGCGCCUCUCUGUGUCUCCCUGCGUCUCCCUGCGACUCCCUGUGACUCCCAGCAUUCUCCAGCGUCUCCCCCUGCUCCUCUGCAACCUUCCUAGCCCCUCUUCCUCUGCCCUCUUCCUCGGACGGAUUUCCCCUGGCCUCUGGACACUUGGACUCCCCCACGGACUCUCGCCCCCGGAUCUCGGACUUGGUUCGUCUGCCGCAUCACGCACAUGUACAACACCCCCUCCACUGAUAUUUCAUACACGCACUCACCCUCACGAUUCACACUUCAUUUACAUCCAACAUCUGCAUCCAAGACAUUCCCCCACGCCCCCUAUAGGUUGUCUCGGCCUCCCUCCUCAUUUAGUUUCUUCCCUCCUGUCCUUUUUUUGUUUCAUUAAAAUCGUCUGAGUUACUUUUAAUUCCCGUGUCUGUCUGCCUUCUUUGGGGUUCCGCCACACUUGACCGCCAGUCCUCUUGAGCUUAACACAAAGGGCAUUACUAAAUAUUCAAAAUGGCCUAAAGGGGUGUUGAAUGCUGUUUUCCACUCAUCCCCCUCCCUGAUUCUGAUGAGGUGGUAGGCAUUCCUUAGGUCCAAUUUUGUGAACACCGUGGCUGAGUGUAGGGGGCUGAAGGCUGAGUCAAUUAGAGAGAGAGGGUACUUCUUUUUCACGGUGAUGUCGUUCAGUCUCAUAUAGUCA